UCGGAUAAAGUGACCCAGUUACCAGGGAGCGUGACGACAACUGUGGGUGCAAAUGUGUCCUUCCAUUGCUUGAGUACUUUAUUUGAAGUUGGCCAAGCUGUCAAGGUAACCUGGUGGAAGCAAGGUGAUCCUCAUUAUCUACACGCGGAACAAGGUGACCGAAAAGUAACUGGCCACAGGACAGAGGAAUGUACUAUUGCACAUUCGUCCGUCAAGGCAAAUUGAUUGGAAACGGAACAGGGUCCAAUUUAACAGUGUGGGCUCCCUUUUACCCGAGGGAUACCAGUUUUACUUGGUACAAAGAUGGCAGUAAAACUACAACAGGAAUCAGUACAGUCAUUCGAACAACAGACGACAGAGUAUAUGAAGCAUCCAGCGGGUUGGAAGAAACACAGGCAAUCCGAGCCGGAACUGUUUAUACCUGCAUGGUAUCCCACAGCCCCCUCCAAAGUUCAGCCGCGGUCAGUCACAUCGUAACGAAUGGCAGCCCGGAUAAGAAUUCUACUGGAACCAUAUCAUUAAUAACGCACAUCAAAUCUGUGAUACAAUAGAAUGAUACCGCACGGACCCUUAGGUCCGACCCAGUCCAUGCCGAAAAUUAUCCCAAAAUAAACUAGUCGCGCCCGCCUGCUCUUGUCCGUAAUCCCGCCAAACCUUUCCCAUUUAUGUACUUCCCCAAAUGUGUUUUAAACGUUGAAAUAGUC
Chiloscyllium plagiosum (whitespotted bambooshark) is the source of this 704-nucleotide non-coding RNA. Lineage: Eukaryota; Metazoa; Chordata; Chondrichthyes; Orectolobiformes; Hemiscylliidae. The record is from the annotation of a RefSeq genome assembly.